AUUAAACGCUGGCGGCAUGCCUUACACAUGCAAGUCGAACGGCAGCACGAGGGCAACCCUGGUGGCGAGUGGCGAACGGGUGAGUAAAGCAUCGGAACGUGCCCUGGAGUGGGGGGAUAACGUAGCGAAAGUUACGCUAAUACCGCAUAUUCUGUGAGCAGGAAAGCAGGGGAUCGCAAGACCUUGCGCUCUGGGAGCGGCCGAUGUCGGAUUAGCUAGUUGGUGGGGUAAAGGCCUACCAAGGCGACGAUCCGUAGCGGGUCUGAGAGGAUGAUCCGCCACACUGGGACUGAGACACGGCCCAGACUCCUACGGGAGGCAGCAGUGGGGAAUUUUGGACAAUGGGCGAAAGCCUGAUCCAGCCAUGCCGCGUGAGUGAAGAAGGCCU
This 388-nucleotide ribosomal RNA is filed under the name uncultured bacterium. Its description in RNAcentral is "bacterial SSU rRNA". It matches the Rfam family "Bacterial small subunit ribosomal RNA", at positions 29 to 417 of the family's 1533-position model. The record is from RNAcentral.